RNAcentral lists this small nuclear RNA (154 nucleotides) under Trichoderma virens Gv29-8. Its description in RNAcentral is "U1 spliceosomal RNA". It matches the Rfam family "U1 spliceosomal RNA". From Rfam's summary of the family: U1 is a small nuclear RNA (snRNA) component of the spliceosome (involved in pre-mRNA splicing). Lineage: Eukaryota; Fungi; Ascomycota; Sordariomycetes; Hypocreales; Hypocreaceae. The record is from RNAcentral.
AUACUUACCUUGUUUCGAAUACCCCAGAUCAAGAAACGGGGUAUUCAGUUGGGAAGGCCUGCAUUGCACAGCGCGGAGUCAUUCCUUGCUCCAUUGUCCUUCGGGGCCAUGGGAGGCGCAAUUUUUGAUAUAUCCAACUCCGUUUUCAUUGUGA